AACGAACGCUGGCGGCAUGCCUAAUACAUGCAAGUCGAACGAGACCUUCGGGUCUAGUGGCGCACGGGUGCGUAACGCGUGGGAAUCUGCCCUUGGGUUCGGAAUAACAGUUGGAAACGACUGCUAAUACCGGAUGAUGACGAGAGUCCAAAGAUUUAUCGCCCAGGGAUGAGCCCGCGUAGGAUUAGCUAGUUGGUGAG
RNAcentral lists this ribosomal RNA (200 nucleotides) under uncultured bacterium. RNAcentral's name for it is "partial 16S ribosomal RNA". It matches the Rfam family "Bacterial small subunit ribosomal RNA", at positions 29 to 256 of the family's 1533-position model. The record is from RNAcentral.